This 252-nucleotide ribosomal RNA is filed under the name uncultured bacterium. RNAcentral's name for it is "partial 16S ribosomal RNA". It matches the Rfam family "Bacterial small subunit ribosomal RNA", at positions 524 to 776 of the family's 1533-position model. RNAcentral also lists the same sequence under 1 other name. The record is from RNAcentral.
UACGUAUGUCGCAAGCGUUAUCCGGAUUUAUUGGGCGUAAAGCGCGUCUAGGCGGCAAGGAAAGUCUGAUGUGAAAAUGCGGAGCUCAACUCCGUAUGGCGUUGGAAACUGCCUUACUAGAGUACUGGAGAGGUAGGCGGAACUACAAGUGUAGAGGUGAAAUUCGUAGAUAUUUGUAGGAAUGCCGAUGGGGAAGCCAGCCUACUGGACAGAUACUGACGCUAAAGCGCGAAAGCGUGGGUAGCAAACAGG